Molecule: ribosomal RNA, 253 nt
Filed under: uncultured bacterium
Lineage: Bacteria
Description: partial 16S ribosomal RNA
Rfam family: Bacterial small subunit ribosomal RNA
Source: RNAcentral
UACGAAGGGGGCUAGCGUUGCUCGGAAUCACUGGGCGUAAAGGGUUCGUAGGCGGUGCGGCAAGUUGGGAGUGAAAUCUCUGGGCUUAACCCAGAGGCUGCUUCCAAAACUGCUGUGCUUGAGUGUGGGAGAGGCGCGUGGAAUUGCAGGUGUAGCGGUGAAAUGCGUAGAUAUCUGCAGGAACACCCGUGGCGAAAGCGGCGCGCUGGACCACUACUGACGCUGAGGAACGAAAGCUAGGGGAGCAAACAGG